This 469-nucleotide long non-coding RNA is filed under the name Ananas comosus (pineapple). RNAcentral describes it as "long non-coding RNA (ACOM_LNC017428)". The record is from RNAcentral. Lineage: Eukaryota; Viridiplantae; Streptophyta; Magnoliopsida; Poales; Bromeliaceae.
AAAGAUCUCGGAAUCGAUUCUAUCAACUACCAAAUUUUCAAUUCCGGUUUUAAACCGGUGCCAACCGGUUUGAUGCAAUGUUUCCGAUAUCAAUAAGGAGAAAGCUGACGGUGUGUAAGAGAAUUUGAAAAGAAUAGUGUGGAUAAGAGAAUUUGAAAAGAAUAGUGUGGAAGGCCGUGGUUGUAACAAAUUCUAGGACGGCAGAAAUGGAUAGAGGAGGGGUCGACCAAUAGCACGGGGGUGAGGCUUUAUUUCAUACCGCAAAAAAUACAUAUUAUGAAAAAGAUAGACCUAACUAGAUAACCGAUUUUUUAAAAAAGAGAAUACUAAAUCCAAAAAAGAGAAUACUAGAUCCAAACUGAUAAAUGUGAGCAUGAAAUACUAUAAACAGGAAUUAAACUGGUUUGUAAACAAACAAGAUUUUUGGUCCGGUUUUGAUUCGGUUUGGUUUCUGCAGUUCAGAUGAACA